UUUCCUUGAGGGUAACACCCGUUGGACCUUAAGCAUAUCAAUAAGCGGAGGAAAAGAAACUAACAAGGAUUCCCCUAGUAACUGCGAGUGAAGCGGGAAAAAGCUCAAAUUUAAAAUCUGAUGGUCUUUGGCCGUCCGAGUUGUAAUUUAGAGAAGCGUCUUCCGCGCUGGACCGUGCACAAGUCUCCUGGAAUGGAGCGUCAUAGAGGGUGAGAAUCCCGUCUUUGGCACGGACACACCAGGGCUUUUGUGAUGCGCUCUCGAAGAGUCGAGUUGUUUGGGAAUGCAGCUCAAAAUGGGUGGUGAACUCCAUCUAAAGCUAAAUAUUGGCGAGAGACCGAUAGCGAACAAGUACCGUGAGGGAAAGAUGAAAAGCACUUUGGAAAGAGAGUGAAACAGUACGUGAAAUUGUUGAAAGGGAAACGCUUGAAGUCAGUCGCGUCGACCGAGACUCAGCCUUGCCUUGGCUUGGUGUACUUCUCGGCUGACGGGUCAGCAUCAAUUUUGCCCCUUGGAUAAUGGCGAGGGAAAUGUGACACCUUUGCGGUGUGUUAUAGUCCCUCGUCGCAUGCAAGGGUUGGGAUUGAGGAACUCAGCACGCGCCUUUGGGCGUCGGGGCUUUGCCCACGAUACGUGCUUAGGAUGUUGGCGUAAUGGCUUUAAACGACCCGUCUUGAAACACGGACCAAGGAGUCUAACAUGCCUGCGAGUGUUCGGGUGGAAAACCCGUGCGCGCAAUGAAAGUGAAAGUUGGGACCUCUGUCGUGGAGGGCACCGACGCCCGGACCAGACCUUCUGUGACGGCUCUGCGGUAGAGCAUGUAUGUUAGGACCCGAAAGAUGGUGAACUAUGCCUGAAUAGGGUGAAGCCAGAGGAAACUCUGGUGGAGGCUCGUAGCGAUUCUGACGUGCAAAUCGAUCGUCAAAUUUGGGUAUAGGGGCGAAAGACUAAUCGAACCAUCUAGUAGCUGGUUCCUGCCGAAGUUUCCCCUUUCAGGAAUAAGGAAA
RNAcentral lists this ribosomal RNA (1007 nucleotides) under Russula paludosa. RNAcentral describes it as "LSU rRNA". It matches the Rfam family "Eukaryotic large subunit ribosomal RNA", at positions 1 to 987 of the family's 3401-position model. Lineage: Eukaryota; Fungi; Basidiomycota; Agaricomycetes; Russulales; Russulaceae. The record is from RNAcentral.